This 409-nucleotide ribosomal RNA is filed under the name Amphistegina lobifera. RNAcentral's name for it is "SSU rRNA". It matches the Rfam family "Eukaryotic small subunit ribosomal RNA", at positions 1202 to 1595 of the family's 1831-position model. The record is from RNAcentral. Lineage: Eukaryota; Foraminifera; Rotaliida; Amphisteginidae.
AACGCGGGGAAUCUUACUAGGUCCGGACCGAGUCUAUGAACGUCGUACCGUUGGGUGCUACGUGAUUACUGGAUGAGUGGUGCAUGGCCGUUCUUAGUUCGUGGUGUUAAUUGUCUACUUAAUUGUUUCGGCCAUGUAUCUCUCAGUACAGUCCUUACAACGAACGAGAUCGAGACCCGUGGUUGGGUUGUGUUUGAAUUCGGUAUUACUACGGGGAUCGCGUAAUUACUCAACGGUACGAUCGAAAGACUCGGCAAUAACAGGUCUGUGAUGCCCUCAGAUGUUCUAGGCUGCACACGUGCUACAUUGUGAGUUGUAGUAUAUUGUGUAUGCGUAGAUAUGUCUAAGAUCCCCCGCAUCGAGUCUCAAUUACUCACGUGGUUGGACUCACCGAUUGUUGUAAUUAUUC